CAUGCAAGUUCGAACGGGUAACAGGGAAGCAGCUUGCUGCUUCGCUGACGAGUGGCGGACGGGUGAGUAAUGUCUGGGGAUCUGCCUGAUGGAGGGGGAUAACUACUGGAAACGGUAGCUAAUACCGCAUAACGUCGCAAGACCAAAGAGGGGGACCUUCGGGCCUCUUGCCAUCAGAUGAACCCAGAUGGGAUUAGCUAGUAGGUGGGGUAACGGCUCACCUAGGCGACGAUCCCUAGCUGGUCUGAGAGGAUGACCAGCCACACUGGAACUGAGACACGGUCCAGACUCCUACGGGAGGCAGCAGUGGGGAAUAUUGCACAAUGGGCGCAAGCCUGAUGCAGCCAUGCCGCGUGUAUGAAGAAGGCCUUCGGGUUGUAAAGUACUUUCAGCGAGGAGGAAGGCGGUAAGGUUAAUAACCUUAUCGAUUGACGUUACUCGCAGAAGAAGCACCGGCUAACUCCGUGCCAGCAGCCGCGGUUAAU
RNAcentral lists this ribosomal RNA (485 nucleotides) under Enterobacter sp. SI-15. RNAcentral's name for it is "bacterial SSU rRNA". It matches the Rfam family "Bacterial small subunit ribosomal RNA", at positions 54 to 525 of the family's 1533-position model. The record is from RNAcentral. Lineage: Bacteria; Pseudomonadati; Pseudomonadota; Gammaproteobacteria; Enterobacterales; Enterobacteriaceae.